This 659-nucleotide ribosomal RNA is filed under the name uncultured bacterium. RNAcentral describes it as "bacterial SSU rRNA". It matches the Rfam family "Bacterial small subunit ribosomal RNA", at positions 81 to 736 of the family's 1533-position model. The record is from RNAcentral.
UCCUUGGGUGACGAGUGGGGGACGGGUGAGUAAUGUCUGGGAAACUGCCCGAUGGAGGGGGAUAACUACUGGAAACGGUAGCUAAUACCGCAUAACGUCGCAAGACCAAAGAGGGGGACCUUCGGGCCUCUUGCCAUCGGAUGUGCCCAGAUGGGAUUAGCUAGUAGGUGGGGUAACGGCUCACCUAGGCGACGAUCCCUAGCUGGUCUGAGAGGAUGACCAGCCACACUGGAACUGAGACACGGUCCAGACUCCUACGGGAGGCAGCAGUGGGGAAUAUUGCACAAUGGGCGCAAGCCUGAUGCAGCCAUGCCGCGUGUAUGAAGAAGGCCUUCGGGUUGUAAAGUACUUUCAGCGAGGAGGAAGGCGUUGUGGUUAAUAACCGCAGCGAUUGACGUUACUCGCAGAAGAAGCACCGGCUAACUCCGUGCCAGCAGCCGCGGUAAUACGGAGGGUGCAAGCGUUAAUCGGAAUUACUGGGCGUAAAGCGCACGCAGGCGGUCUGUCAAGUCGGAUGUGAAAUCCCCGGGCUCAACCUGGGAACUGCAUCCGAAACUGGCAGGCUAGAGUCUUGUAGAGGGGGGUAGAAUUCCAGGUGUAGCGGUGAAAUGCGUAGAGAUCUGGAGGAAUACCGGUGGCGAAGGCGGCCCCCUGGACAA